Long non-coding RNA from Catharus ustulatus (Swainson's thrush), 114 nucleotides. RefSeq lists it as uncharacterized. NCBI's taxonomy places the organism in Eukaryota, Metazoa, Chordata, Aves, Passeriformes, Turdidae. The transcript has 2 exons. The record is from RefSeq and is a predicted model, not a curated record.
CGCGGCGCCUAUAAAGGGCCGCCCGCCGAACCCGCCGCCCCUCCGCCCGCCGCGGCCGCACCGCGAAAAAAUCAACGGGCCGCCGCUCUGCAGAAUCCGGGCUUAAAUCGAAGC